This 75-nucleotide antisense RNA is filed under the name Micromonospora zamorensis. RNAcentral describes it as "ASpks TB sRNA". It matches the Rfam family "ASpks TB sRNA". Lineage: Bacteria; Bacillati; Actinomycetota; Actinomycetes; Micromonosporales; Micromonosporaceae. The record is from RNAcentral.
CUUGAUCGAGCCGAGCCACACCGGCUGGUCGGCCGGACGGUCCUGACCGUACGUGGCCAGCAGCGCCUGCGCCUC